CUCCGCUCCGAUGCCGCCAAGUUCUCCCUUCUCCCUGCCGAAGUCUUUGAGCCGCUCCGCCGAGGAACUAAUCAGAUCGCCCAAAAUAAGUGUAAUGAGCGGAUGAGAAAUCUCAUUGUCGCCAUCUCCGACCGAAGCCGCCAAAAGCCGCUCAUCGAUGCCGUGAUGGUGAAAAAGUCACUCCAUCUACCCAGCACCCGAUGACGAAACAUUCUCAAAAAAAUCUCGUCUUCACCACUGGAUCUGGAGAUCUCGGUGUCGUUGCCGUUGCCGC
RNAcentral lists this long non-coding RNA (274 nucleotides) under Erythranthe guttata (spotted monkey flower). Its description in RNAcentral is "long non-coding RNA (EGUT_LNC002536)". Lineage: Eukaryota; Viridiplantae; Streptophyta; Magnoliopsida; Lamiales; Phrymaceae. The record is from RNAcentral.